GUGACACACGCCUGUAGUCCCAGCUACCUGGGAGGCUGAGGUGGGAGGAUUGCUUGAGCCUAGGAGUUCGAGGCUGCAGUAAGC
RNAcentral lists this microRNA precursor (84 nucleotides) under Chlorocebus sabaeus (green monkey). RNAcentral describes it as "miRNA (ENSCSAG00000024916.1)". The record is from RNAcentral. Lineage: Eukaryota; Metazoa; Chordata; Mammalia; Primates; Cercopithecidae.